This 253-nucleotide ribosomal RNA is filed under the name uncultured bacterium. RNAcentral's name for it is "partial 16S ribosomal RNA". It matches the Rfam family "Bacterial small subunit ribosomal RNA", at positions 524 to 776 of the family's 1533-position model. The record is from RNAcentral.
UACAGAGGUCUCAAGCGUUGUUCGGAUUCAUUGGGCGUAAAGGGUGCGCAGGCGGCCGUGUGUGUGAGGAGUGAAAGCCUGGAGCUUAACUCCAGAAUUGCACCUCAAACUACAUGGCUAGAGCAUUGGAGAGGGUAGCAGAAUUCAUGGUGUAGCAGUGAAAUGCGUAGAUAUCAUGAGGAAUACCAGAGGCGAAGGCGGCUACCUGGACAAUUGCUGACGCUCAGGCACGAAAGCGUGGGGAGCAAAAGGG